This is a non-coding RNA of Cytospora paraplurivora, 72 nucleotides long. The record is from the annotation of a GenBank genome assembly. Lineage: Eukaryota; Fungi; Ascomycota; Sordariomycetes; Diaporthales; Cytosporaceae.
GGGGGUAUAGUCUAGUUGGUAAAACUCUAACCUUGCAUGUUAGUAUCCCAGGUUCGAUUCCUGGUACCUCCA